GACAGAGGGUGCAAACGUUGUUCGGAAUUACUGGGCGUAAAGCGCGUGUAGGCGGCUUGGCAAGUCGGGUGUGAAAGCCCUGGGCUCAACCUAGGAAGUGCACUCGAAACUGCUUCGCUAGAGUGUCGGAGAGGAAAGCGGAAUUCUCGGUGUAGAGGUGAAAUUCGUAGAUAUCGAGAGGAACAUCGGUGGCGAAGGCGGCUUUCUGGACGAUUACUGACGCUGAGACGCGAAAGCGUGGGGAGCAAACAGG
This 253-nucleotide ribosomal RNA is filed under the name uncultured bacterium. RNAcentral's name for it is "partial 16S ribosomal RNA". It matches the Rfam family "Bacterial small subunit ribosomal RNA", at positions 524 to 776 of the family's 1533-position model. The record is from RNAcentral.